Molecule: ribosomal RNA, 488 nt
Filed under: uncultured bacterium
Lineage: Bacteria
Description: bacterial SSU rRNA
Rfam family: Bacterial small subunit ribosomal RNA
Source: RNAcentral
AUUGAACGCUGGCGGCAUGCCUAACACAUGCAAGUCGAACGGGGGCAGCAAUGCCCUAGUGGCGGACGGGUGAGGAAUACGUAGGAACCGGCCCACGAGUGGGGGACAACCUGGGGAAACCCAGGCUAAUACCGCAUACGCUCGCGAGAGGAAAGCGGGGGGACCUUCGGGCCUCGCGCUGGUGGACGGGCCUACGUCCGAUUAGCUAGUUGGUGGGGUAAAAGCCUACCAAAGGCGACGAUCGGUAGCUGGUCUGAGAGGAUGAUCAGCCACACUGGGACUGAGACACGGCCCAGACUCCUACGGGAGGCAGCAGUGGGGAAUAUUGGACAAUGGGCGCGAGCCUGAUCCAGCAAUGCCGCGUGGGUGAAGAAGGCCUGCGGGUUGUAAAGCCCUUUAAGCGGGGAGGAAAGCCGGGGUGUGAAUAGCGCCUCGGGGUGACGUUACCCGCAGAAUAAGCACCGGCUAACUCCGUGCCAGCAGCCGCG